This 218-nucleotide long non-coding RNA is filed under the name Mytilus galloprovincialis (Mediterranean mussel). Lineage: Eukaryota; Metazoa; Mollusca; Bivalvia; Mytilida; Mytilidae. The record is from RNAcentral.
GGUCCGAGACCACAAUUGUCGUCCCUUGAUUUUCGUUGUCCACAAAUAUAGUCCCCAGUGUUGACAGUGGGUUACUUGCCAAUAUUUUUUAUACCCCUUCCAAAUUUAUUUCUCCAUGUUUUAUGCCUCAAAUGGCAAGUAGGGGGUGAAAUUACACUGUAAAAAAAUUUGGGUCCAGAAUUUUAAGGGAAAGUAGUGAUUUGGUCCAGUUGAAAAAG